GACGAACGCUGGCGGCGUGCUUAACACAUGCAAGUCGAACGGGCCCGCCCCUGUUUUUGGGGGUGGGUUGAGUGGCGAACGGGUGAGUAUCACGUGAGUAACCUGCCCCCUGCUCCUGGAUAACUGCUUGAAAGGGCGGCUAAUACGGGGUGUGCCGGCUGGUCCGCAUGGGCCUGGUCGGGAUAGUUUCAUCUUCGGGUGUUUCGGUGGGGGAUGGGCUCGCGGCCUAUCAGCUUGUUGGUGGGGUGAUGGCCCACCAAGGCGGUGACGGGUAGCCGGCCUGAGAGGGUGGGCGGCCACACUGGGACUGAGCCACGGCCCAGACUCCUGCGGGAGGCAGCAGUGGGGGGUAUUGCACAAUGGGCGGAAGCCUGAUGCAGCGACGUCGCGUGAGGGAUGGAGGCCUUCGGGUUGUGAACCUCUUUCUCCGGUGGUGAAGGCCCUGUCCGUUGCGGCGGGGUUGACGGUAGCCGGGUAUGAAGCGCCGGCUAACUACGUG
RNAcentral lists this ribosomal RNA (499 nucleotides) under uncultured bacterium. RNAcentral's name for it is "partial 16S ribosomal RNA". It matches the Rfam family "Bacterial small subunit ribosomal RNA", at positions 28 to 507 of the family's 1533-position model. The record is from RNAcentral.